This 482-nucleotide ribosomal RNA is filed under the name uncultured bacterium. RNAcentral's name for it is "partial 16S ribosomal RNA". It matches the Rfam family "Bacterial small subunit ribosomal RNA", at positions 30 to 507 of the family's 1533-position model. The record is from RNAcentral.
AUUGAACGCUGGCGGCAUGCCUUACACAUGCAAGUCGAACGGUAACGGGCCUUCGGGUGCCGACGAGUGGCGAACGGGUGAGUAAUACAUCGGAACGUGCCCGAUCGUGGGGGAUAACGAGGCGAAAGCUUUGCUAAUACCCCAUACGAUCUACGGAUGAAAGCAGGGGACCGCAAGGCCUUGCGCGGACGGAGCGGCCGAUGGCAGAUUAGGUAGUUGGUGGGAUAAAAGCUUACCAAGCCGACGAUCUGUAGCUGGUCUGAGAGGAUGAUCAGCCACACUGGGACUGAGACACGGCCCAGACUCCUACGGGAGGCAGCAGUGGGGAAUUUUGGACAAUGGGCGCAAGCCUGAUCCAGCCAUGCCGCGUGCAGGAUGAAGGCCUUCGGGUUGUAAACUGCUUUUGUACGGAACGAAAAGCCUUCUUUUAAUACAGGAGGGUCAUGACGGUACCGUAAGAAUAAGCACCGGCUAACUACGUG